AGAGUUUGAUCCUGGCUCAGGACGAACGCUGGCGGCGUGCCUAACACAUGCAAGUCGAACGGGGAAGUUAGCAAUAACUUUCUAGUGGCGAACGGGUGAGUAACGCGUAGACAACCAACCUUUUUGUGGGGGACAACACUUCGAAAGGAGUGCUAAUACCGCAUACGUUCCAGAAACCGCCUGGUAUUUGGAAGAAAGGAGCUUUACGGCUUCGCAGAAAGACGGGUCUGCGUCUGAUUAGCUAGUUGGAGGGGUAACGGCCCACCAAGGCGACGAUCAGUAGCCGGUCUGAGAGGAUGGACGGCCACACUGGGACUGAGACACGGCCCAGACUCCU
This 337-nucleotide ribosomal RNA is filed under the name uncultured bacterium. Its description in RNAcentral is "bacterial SSU rRNA". It matches the Rfam family "Bacterial small subunit ribosomal RNA", at positions 8 to 340 of the family's 1533-position model. The record is from RNAcentral.